GACGAGGCACUACGGUGCUGAAGCAACAAAUGCCCUGCUUCCAGGAAAAGCCUCUAAGCAUCAGGUAACAUCAAAUCGUACCCCAAACCGACACAGGUGGUCAGGUAGAGAAUACCAAGGCGCUUGAGAGAACUCGGGUGAAGGAACUAGGCAAAAUGGUGCCGUAACUUCGGGAGAAGGCACGCUGACACGUAGGUGAAGUGAUUUACUCACGGAGCUGAAGUCAGUCGAAG
Molecule: ribosomal RNA, 233 nt
Filed under: Salmonella enterica subsp. enterica serovar Newport
Lineage: Bacteria; Pseudomonadati; Pseudomonadota; Gammaproteobacteria; Enterobacterales; Enterobacteriaceae
Description: partial 23S ribosomal RNA
Rfam family: Bacterial large subunit ribosomal RNA
Source: RNAcentral